GUUUAGGGUGCUAAUUAUUUCAUCCAGAAAACCCUACAAUUAUUGUCAGCUUUCAGUGUAGUCAGAAUAUUCCUAUAGGUUAUGGGAUACAAUUCAGGAUUUAACUAAUGUUUCUGCUAUUUUCUCACUUUUCCUUUUGAUGGUGCGGAAAGAGAAAAGGAAAACGGGGCACAGGCCAUUCGCCGCCUUCUCCAGGGGUCUGAUUUGCUGAGACACCAGCUCCACCUUCCUAACAAGGUUAUUUCUGACAGCAUGUGUAGAUAAACAUUUAGCCACAGUUUAAAACAGAGUCAUGUAACUCAACUUGGUUUUGCGACAAAGGAAUUCCUAUUUUUAACAUGGUAGACGAGAAUUUCCAAAAGCAUAUGUAAUCUUUUCUAUUUGGGGGUAAUUAAUGUCUGAUUCCCUGAGGAAGAAUCCGAUUUAAGGGGCUUAAAUAAUAUUUUUAAAUUGUAAAUGGGAUUUUUUUAUUUACCCAGGCACCUAAUUACAACAAGCAUGCACAUUUUGGUGCAUUCAAGAAUGGAAAAUCAGAAUAGCAGCAUUCUCCUGGUGGGCUUUGCUCCAUUUAAAGACAUGACAUGAACUGCACGCCAGGAAGGUGAUAGAUGAUGUAAUGAGCCAGCCCGAGCCCACACCCCGUCUCUUCAUGUUUAGCCUUAAAUAAGUAAAGGUGAUCUGUCCGCAUCGGCAGGUAGAGUGAUGCCUUUUAAACAAGGCCUCACAGGUGCAGCUCUUCCACCCUAAUGGUGUGGGUUGUGACUUCCCACCAUGACUCACUUUGGUGGCACAUGCUGCAUAUUCAAGUCUAGUAGUCUUUUACAUUGGAAAAACAGUUAACAUUUUGAUGCUUCUGGUGAUUUUCAUGGCUUCAUUUAUGUAAUUAUUUAAUAAGUUAACUUCCACUAGAAACAGUUCAUCUUAUACCGUCAAGAUUAUUACCUAUUCUUUAAAAAACAAAGUUGCUUGUUACUUGUUCUUUGUGUUUUAGGUGCAGCUCAGUGGAAGAUGAUGACAACCAGAAGACAUGAGCUAAGGGUAAGGGACUGUUCUUCUGAAGAACCUUUCCAUUUAGUGAUCAAGAUGCAGAAGCUGAUCUCUGAAAAUACUCAGUGUGUAUCCUAAUUGUUCAUGUUACCGUUUCCAAUUAUAAACUGCAUUGUAGCAGCACAUGUUCCCACUUGACUCUGGGGAAACAAUAAAAUAUGCCUCUUGAUACCAUA
Molecule: long non-coding RNA, 1223 nt
Organism: Heterocephalus glaber (naked mole-rat)
Lineage: Eukaryota; Metazoa; Chordata; Mammalia; Rodentia; Bathyergidae
Source: Ensembl